CCUUUCCUUUUUCAGGUUUACUUCGAGCGUUUCCUUUCCCUCCCUUGGGAUAAAUAACGCACGGUGGCGACUCUUCUGUCAUUUUUUCUUUCGCCGGUUGUUUUUUCCCACACUGUAUUUUUCAGGUUGCGACAGCUGGCGACUCUGUUGGGGACCCGGUUUCCCUAAGCGAGUCCCUCCUAGCUUUUGUAGUUUGUUUGUUUAUUGGGUGUUCAUGCUUUUGUACAGUUAUUUAUUUACCUGCUUUAC
RNAcentral lists this long non-coding RNA (249 nucleotides) under Lathyrus oleraceus (garden pea). RNAcentral describes it as "Pisum sativum (pea) long non-coding RNA (PSAT_LNC024890)". Lineage: Eukaryota; Viridiplantae; Streptophyta; Magnoliopsida; Fabales; Fabaceae. The record is from RNAcentral.